RNAcentral lists this long non-coding RNA (272 nucleotides) under Capsicum annuum. Its description in RNAcentral is "long non-coding RNA (CANN_LNC011684)". The record is from RNAcentral. Lineage: Eukaryota; Viridiplantae; Streptophyta; Magnoliopsida; Solanales; Solanaceae.
UUUGAUCUUGGAAGUUGAAGAAAGAGAGUGUGUAUUUUGUUAGUCUUGAAAGACAUAUUUCCAAAAUUUAAGACCUCUCAAGACUUUUACAACCAAUUCCAACCACUCAAGGACUUUAACAACCACUUUUCCAACAACCUUCCAUGAUUUAAGGACCAUGUCUUGAGGAGAAAAGUCAAGUCUUGCUUUUUGAAUUUGAAAGAGGAUUUCAAGACUUAUUUUCUCUCCUUAACCAAUUUCCACCAAUUCCAAAUUACAAUUGGACCAAGACU